CAAUAGGUGAUGGGGUUCGCCUUUAAAUGCCAAGCUUUGGCUGAUGACUCCUACAUA
This 57-nucleotide non-coding RNA is filed under the name Clostridium ihumii. RNAcentral describes it as "Fluoride riboswitch". It matches the Rfam family "Fluoride riboswitch aptamer (crcB RNA motif)", at positions 6 to 61 of the family's 64-position model. The record is from RNAcentral. Lineage: Bacteria; Bacillati; Bacillota; Clostridia; Eubacteriales; Clostridiaceae.